AAUAGAUACCCAGGUAGUCCAUGCCGUAAACGUUGGGCACUAGGUGUGGGCUCAUUCCACGAGUUCCGUGCCGCAGCAAACGCAUUAAGUGCCCCGCCUGGGGAGUACGGCCGCAAGGCUAAAACUCAAAGGAAUUGACGGGGGCCCGCAUAAGCGGCGGAGCAUGCGGAUUAAUUCGAUGCAACGCGAAGAACCUUACCAAGGCUUGACAUGCACGGGAAGCCACCAGAGAUGGUGGUCUCUUUGGACACUCGUGCACAGGUGGUGCAUGGUUGUCGUCAGCUCGUGUCGUGAGAUGUUGGGUUAAGUCCCGCAACGAGCGUAACCCUCGUCCCAUGUUGCCAGCGGGUUAUGCCGGGGACUCAUGGGAGACUGCCGGGGUCAACUCGGAGGAAGGUGGGGAUGACGUCAAAUCAUCAUGCCCCUUAUGUCUUGGGCUUCACGCAUGCUACAAUGGCCGGUACAAAGGGCUGCGAUACCGUAAGGUGGAGCGAAUCCCAAAAGCCGGUCUCAGUUCGGAUUGGGGU
Molecule: ribosomal RNA, 527 nt
Filed under: uncultured bacterium
Lineage: Bacteria
Description: bacterial SSU rRNA
Rfam family: Bacterial small subunit ribosomal RNA
Source: RNAcentral